AGAGCGAACGCUGGCGGCAGGCCUAACACAUGCAAGUCGAGCGCCCCGCAAGGGGAGCGGCAGACGGGAGAGUAACACGUGGGAACGUACCCUUUGGUUCGGAACAACACAGGGAAACUUGUGCUAAUACCGGAUAAAGCCCUUACGGGGAAAGAUUUAUUGCCAAAGGAUCGGCCCGCGUCUGAUUAGCUUGUUGGUGAGGUAACGGCUCACCAAGGCUACGAUCAGUAGCUGGUCUGAGAGGAUGAUCAGCCUCACUGGGACUGAGACACGGCCCAGACUCCUACGGGAGGCAGCAGUGGGGAAUAUUGGACAAUGGGCGCAAGCCUGAUCCAGCCAUGCCGCGUGGAUGAUGAAGGCCCUAGGGUUGUAAAGUCCUUUCGACGGGGAAGAUAAUGACGGUACCCGUAGAAGAAGCCCGGCUAACUUCGUGCCAGCAGCCGC
This 444-nucleotide ribosomal RNA is filed under the name uncultured bacterium. RNAcentral's name for it is "SSU rRNA". It matches the Rfam family "Bacterial small subunit ribosomal RNA", at positions 26 to 518 of the family's 1533-position model. The record is from RNAcentral.